RNAcentral lists this transfer-messenger RNA (357 nucleotides) under Pelagicoccus mobilis. Its description in RNAcentral is "Standard tmRNA". It matches the Rfam family "transfer-messenger RNA". Rfam says of the family: Bacterial tmRNA, also known as 10Sa RNA or SsrA, is named for its dual tRNA and mRNA-like properties. Its role is to liberate the mRNA from a stalled ribosome. Lineage: Bacteria; Pseudomonadati; Verrucomicrobiota; Opitutia; Puniceicoccales; Pelagicoccaceae. The record is from Rfam by way of RNAcentral.
GGGGGUGUUCCGGAUUCGACCUCAAGUUGGAACGUCUGGCUGCAUGUAGAGGAUGAUGGUUGGCCUCUUAAAUCGUCCAUCAAAAACACAAAUGGCACACACGAAGAAAUGCCUCUAGCUGCAUAGAUCAGCUACGUCUCCCCACCGAUACUCGCUAGGUGGUGCGAGGCGACGACUAGCGAGCAUAGCUGGGAACGGAUGUCUGUUGCGUCCUAGCCGUACUUCAUCAGCGGGCUGGCCUCAAAGGUAGCGCGGUUUCGUCGCGACCCAGAGGUGAGAUCAAAAACGAGAACAAACAUGUAGACGCUUUUCGAGAAGGCUCGAGGGACGCGGGUUCGACUCCCGCCACCUCCACCA